AGACCCGAAACCCGGUGAUCUAGCCAUGGGCAGGUUGAAGGUUGGGUAACACUAACUGGAGGACCGAACCGACUAAUGUUGAAAAAUUAGCGGAUGACUUGUGGCUGGGGGUGAAAGGCCAAUCAAACCGGGAGAUAGCUGGUUCUCCCCGAAAGCUAUUUAGGUAGCGCCUCGUGAAUUCAUCUCCGGGGGUAGAGCACUGUUUCGGCAAGGGGGUCAUCCCGACUUACCAACCCGAUGCAAACUGCGAAUACCGGAGAAUGUUAUCACGGGAGACACACGGCGGGUGCUAACGUCCGUCGUGAAGAGGGAAACAACCCAGACCGCCAGCUAAGGUCCCAAAGUCAUGGUUAAGUGGGAAACGAUGUGGGAAGGCCCAGACAGCCAGGAUGUUGGCUUAGAAGCAGCCAUCAUUUAAAGAAAGCGUAAUAGCUCACUGGUCGAGUCGGCCUGCGCGGAAGAUGUAACGGGGCUAAACCAUGCACCGAAGCUGCGGCAGCGACACUGUGUGUUGUUGGGUAGGGGAGCGUUCUGUAAGCCUGUGAAGGUGUACUGUGAGG
This 560-nucleotide ribosomal RNA is filed under the name Escherichia coli. Its description in RNAcentral is "partial 23S ribosomal RNA". It matches the Rfam family "Bacterial large subunit ribosomal RNA", at positions 711 to 1268 of the family's 2925-position model. RNAcentral also lists the same sequence under 1 other name. Lineage: Bacteria; Pseudomonadati; Pseudomonadota; Gammaproteobacteria; Enterobacterales; Enterobacteriaceae. The record is from RNAcentral.